CGAGGUUAAAGCGGAUGUACAUACGUAGCCGACCGGGUGGGCACAUUCGCUCGAGCCUCCAGCGGUCGUCGCGUUCGGACCGUCGCCGUCCCUGGAAUCCCUUUCGGGGGAAACCAUACGCAGCGUCGGCCGUCGCGGCGGCGGACUCGGAGGAGAGCGCGAUGGACUCCCCUCCCCAGUAGGCAGUCGCGGCCGUUCGAGAGUUGUCUAAGGCUCGGAAGUUGGGAACCGUCCGGCGUUUAACGCGUCGGCGGGGACGCUUCCUCGAUUCUGGCGGACUCUCGGACGGUUGAUGAAAAAUGACGACGUAGCGGAAGGCAAAUCCCUCGUCGUACGCGGCUGUAACGCGAUCGUUCAUCCGUCCCGUCUUGAAACACGGACCAAGGAGUCUAACAUGUACGCGAGUCAACGGGUAGGCUAAACCCCUAGGCGCAACGAAAGUAAUAAAGAAGCUUCGGCUUCGUUGGGUUGAUCCGUGCUCUCUUCCACGAGACCGGCGCAAACCCGGGGCUCGCCGCUACCUCUUCGAGAUUCUGUCUCGUCGCGGGCGGCGGGCACCUCGAGCGUACAUGCUAGUACCCGAAAGAUGGUGAUCUAUGCCUGGCCAGGAUGAAGCCAGAGGAAACUCUGG
This 631-nucleotide ribosomal RNA is filed under the name Proasellus istrianus. RNAcentral describes it as "eukaryotic LSU rRNA". It matches the Rfam family "Eukaryotic large subunit ribosomal RNA", at positions 409 to 867 of the family's 3401-position model. The record is from RNAcentral. Lineage: Eukaryota; Metazoa; Arthropoda; Malacostraca; Isopoda; Asellidae.